Molecule: ribosomal RNA, 253 nt
Filed under: uncultured prokaryote
Description: partial 16S ribosomal RNA
Rfam family: Bacterial small subunit ribosomal RNA
Source: RNAcentral
ACGAAGGGUGCAAGCGUUAAUCGGAAUUACUGGGCGUAAAGGGUGCGUAGGCGGUUCGUUAAGUCAGUCGUGAAAUCCCCGGGCUCAACCUGGGAAUGGCGAUGGAUACUGGCGAGCUAGAGUGUGUCAGAGGAUGGUGGAAUUCCCGGUGUAGCGGUGAAAUGCGUAGAUAUCUGGAGGAACACCGGUGGCGAAGGCGGCAUUCUGGACCAAUACUGACGCUGAGGAGCGAAAGCCAGGGGAGCAAACGGGA